This 343-nucleotide ribosomal RNA is filed under the name Clostridioides difficile. RNAcentral describes it as "bacterial SSU rRNA". It matches the Rfam family "Bacterial small subunit ribosomal RNA", at positions 246 to 606 of the family's 1533-position model. The record is from RNAcentral. Lineage: Bacteria; Bacillati; Bacillota; Clostridia; Peptostreptococcales; Peptostreptococcaceae.
UAGUUGGUAAGGUAACGGCUUACCAAGGCGACGAUCAGUAGCCGACCUGAGAGGGUGAUCGGCCACAUUGGAACUGAGACACGGUCCAAACUCCUACGGGAGGCAGCAGUGGGGAAUAUUGCACAAUGGGCGAAAGCCUGAUGCAGCAACGCCGCGUGAGUGAUGCAGGCCUUCGGGUCGUAAAACUCUGUCCUCAAGGAAGAUAAUGACGGUACUUGAGGAGGAAGCCCCGGCUAACUACGUGCCAGCAGCCGCGGUAAUACGUAGGGGGCUAGCGUUAUCCGGAUUUACUGGGCGUAAAGGGUGCGUAGGCGGUCUUUCAAGUCAGGAGUGAAAGGCUACG